RNAcentral lists this long non-coding RNA (834 nucleotides) under Sinocyclocheilus grahami. Its description in RNAcentral is "lncRNA (ENSSGRG00000010437.1)". The record is from RNAcentral. Lineage: Eukaryota; Metazoa; Chordata; Actinopteri; Cypriniformes; Cyprinidae.
CUUGCAUAUUAAUUGAUUGCUGUAGAAGAACAUGCAGUAUUUUGAACGUGUGAGGAAACAUUUUAGGGCUUGAAGUGUACAUUUUGUCCCACAGAAAAGUGGAGGAUCUGCAGUUCCGUGUAGAGGAAGCUUGCAUUACCAAAGGUGACCUAGAGGUGGCCACGGUGUCCGAGCGCUCCAGAAUCAUGGAGCUGGAAAAGGAAGUGUCCGACCUGCAUCUUCAGCUGAGAACUCUCCGGGCCGAGACCGCGGGAUCAGCCUCACCUCCAUUACAAGACAAAAAGAUCAAGGAGUUGAACUUUGAGUUAGAGGAUAGACAGAAGGAAGUUCUCCUAUUCCAGCAGAAACUUGCCUCCUCUGAACAGGAUAGAACAUGCCUCCAGCAGCAGCUGCAAGAUCUGAAACAGAAACUCGACACAGCAGCAGAGGACAAUAAUAAAGCAACACUAGCCAUGCAAGAAAUAGAAAGGAACAUGAGAAUGCAGAAAGAGAAGCUGGACCAGGUGUCCAGGGAGAAGGAAGAGCUGCAGAGGGAUGUGGCCCUCCGGCAGCACCAGGAACAGGCGAAGGAUGAAGAGAGAGAUCUUCAGAUAAAGGAGCUGAAGGAGAAGUUGGGCCGAACAGAAGGAGAGUUGAACAGAAUCCCAGAGAGGAGUGUUGAGCUGGAACGGCAGGUGGUGGAACUGAAAGCCUACAAAGACCAAACCCAGAGUUUACAGUCUGAUGAAAAGCUGGAGCAGAUGACGAAGAGGAAUAAGGAAUUGCAGGAGGAGGUAAAUAUGCUUUACUCUUCAUAUCAUAAAGAUAAACAGUGACUCUUGGUUACUUUCAAGU